GACGAACGCUGGCGGCGUGCCUAAUACAUGCAAGUUGAGCGCUGAAGGUUGGUACUUGUACCAACUGGAUGAGCAGCGAACGGGUGAGUAACGCGUGGGGAAUCUGCCUUUGAGCGGGGGACAACAUUUGGAAACGAAUGCUAAUACCGCAUAAAAACUUUAAACACAAGUUUUAAGUUUGAAAGAUGCAAUUGCAUCACUCAAAGAUGAUCCCGCGUUGUAUUAGCUAGUUGGUGAGGUAAAGGCUCACCAAGGCGAUGAUACAUAGCCGACCUGAGAGGGUGAUCGGCCACAUUGGGACUGAGACACGGCCCAAACUCCUACGGGAGGCAGCAGUAGGGAAUCCUCGGCAAUGGACGAAAGUCUGACCGAGCAACGCCGCGUGAGUGAAGAAGGGUUUCGGAUCGUAAAACUCUGUUGGUAGAGAAGAACGUUGGUGAGAGUGGAAAGCUCAUCAAGUGACGGUAACUACCCAGAAAGGGACGGCUAACUACGUG
Molecule: ribosomal RNA, 497 nt
Filed under: uncultured bacterium
Lineage: Bacteria
Description: partial 16S ribosomal RNA
Rfam family: Bacterial small subunit ribosomal RNA
Source: RNAcentral